GAUGAACGCUGGCGGCGUGCCUAAUACAUGCAAGUCGAGCGAACAGACGAGGAGCUUGCUCCUCUGACGUUAGCGGCGGACGGGUGAGUAACACGUGGAUAACCUACCUACAAGACUGGGAUAACUUCGGGAAACCGGAGCUAAUACCGGAUAAUAUAUUGAACCGCAUGGUUCAAUAGUGAAAGACGGUUUUGCUGUCACUUAUAGAUGGAUCCGCGCCGCAUUAGCUAGUUGGUAAGGUAACGGCUUACCAAGGCAACGAUGCGUAGCCGACCUGAGAGGGUGAUCGGCCACACUGGAACUGAGACACGGUCCAGACUCCUACGGGAGGCAGCAGUAGGGAAUCUUCCGCAAUGGGCGAAAGCCUGACGGAGCAACGCCGCGUGGGUGAUGAAGGUCUUCGGAUCGUAAAACUCUGUUAUUAGGGAAGAACAAAUGUGUAAGUAACUAUGCACGUCUUGACGGUACCUAAUCAGAAAGCCACGGCUAACUACGUG
This 497-nucleotide ribosomal RNA is filed under the name uncultured bacterium. Its description in RNAcentral is "partial 16S ribosomal RNA". It matches the Rfam family "Bacterial small subunit ribosomal RNA", at positions 28 to 507 of the family's 1533-position model. The record is from RNAcentral.